Molecule: long non-coding RNA, 433 nt
Organism: Bos taurus (domestic cattle)
Lineage: Eukaryota; Metazoa; Chordata; Mammalia; Artiodactyla; Bovidae
Source: Ensembl
GUGAGGUGCCAUUUCCUUCUCCAAGGGAUCUUCCUGACCCAGGGAUCAAACUGGAGUCUCCUGAAUUGUCAGCAUACGUGCUAGCAAAGCAAGCGCCGAGACUAAAUUUUGAAGACUGAGCUGGAAAGACGAGCUUAUCUUCCGUUAUGAUUUUGUCAUGGCACCCACCACCGACCUCUUGGCGCUUCCGCAAGUUAGGAGUCUUCCCAGCUCAGCGUGCACACAAGUCACCCGGCAGGCCGCAGCCCUCCUCCGGCCCAAGGUUCACCGGAGCGGGUGUGCAGCGGGGCCGGGGUCUGCCUUCCCGGGCAUGCGGCAGUCUGCGGUAGGUGGCAACGGACUUGAGGGGCACCACCCUGAAUCUCCCAAUCUCACCCCCACAUCUCUGCUUUCUCUCUCCUUAUCGUGCCGGUCGUUAAAUUCUCCUGAGGGA